GGUGGUUCAGUGGUAGAGUGCUUGCCUUGCAUGCAUGAAGUCCUGGGUUCAAUUCCUCAGCACCA
RNAcentral lists this transfer RNA (65 nucleotides) under Dipodomys ordii (Ord's kangaroo rat). It matches the Rfam family "tRNA". From Rfam's summary of the family: Transfer RNA (tRNA) molecules are approximately 80 nucleotides in length. Their secondary structure includes four short double-helical elements and three loops (D, anti-codon, and T loops). Further hydrogen bonds mediate the characteristic L-shaped molecular structure. tRNAs have two regions of fundamental functional importance: the anti-codon, which is responsible for specific mRNA codon recognition, and the 3' end, to which the tRNAs corresponding amino acid is attached (by aminoacyl-tRNA synthetases). tRNAs cope with the degeneracy of the genetic code in two manners: having more than one tRNA (with a specific anti-codon) for a particular amino acid; and 'wobble' base-pairing, i.e. permitting non-standard base-pairing at the 3rd anti-codon position. Lineage: Eukaryota; Metazoa; Chordata; Mammalia; Rodentia; Heteromyidae. The record is from Rfam by way of RNAcentral.